This 344-nucleotide long non-coding RNA is filed under the name Mytilus galloprovincialis (Mediterranean mussel). The record is from RNAcentral. Lineage: Eukaryota; Metazoa; Mollusca; Bivalvia; Mytilida; Mytilidae.
AUCCUGACUAAUUGGACAGUCAGAUGACAGUUCAGAGUGAGAGUUGAAACAGUUUUGUACUACCUGAUUUUUUGUUUAAAAUCAAAGCAACAUUCUCUUUUCUAUAAAGGAGUAGACUGUUGCUUGUUCUAGGCAUAAUUCACUAGUAUAAGCACAAAAUGCAUGUCAACAGUAACACUGUUCCAAGUUCAUGAAGUUGCAAACAAAAUAUUAGGAUGUUAUCAUUGUACUCACACUCAGUGGCUUAAUUAACUUAGUAGUUUUUACGUGUACGCCAAAACCACGGAGAGGAGUAUGAGAGUCCCUAGCGGGUCCAGGUCAAUUUACUGUGACAAAUUCGCUGC